GUUUUCCAUAAUUAGUUGGGGGGAAAAACACAACUUUUCAAUCUCCAGAUUUGUUGAUUCUAGCUAACUGUAUUUCAACUGAUUUUUUAGUGCCAUUCUCAUGGAGAUUCACCUCAAGAAUCUCUUUACAAGGUUCCAAGACCAGUUUGGAUCUGGACCCGGGCUCGGCCCAAGCUCAGGGACUUGCCUUCUCAGCGUCGAAGGCAUUUCCCCGGCCUUCAUCAGAUCCGUCUUCAGUGCCUCUGCUGCCCUCUACCGAACUGAUCCAUGGAAAAGACUCCGGCCAUCUCAUCUCUUCGCCAUUAGAAUAGGUAAAGACUCCGACUGGUCAUUGAAGAAACAAUUAUACCCCAUAGCUCAAUUCGUCGGUGGAGAAGGCGGUGAUCUUGGUAUACAUAUGUUCAAGUCUGAACUUGAUGCUCAGAAGACAACUGGAUUAAGAGAAACCAAUAGAGUACCCAAUGUGGAGAUACUAAGAGUAGUAUUCACGCCACAAUCUCUUAUCUUUCCUUCGAAUAAGAGAAUGAUUCGCUCUCUAUCGUUGGAAUCCUCUGCCGUAGAUCAAUACCCGAUUGUUGAUGUUGCUCGAUUCAGCUCUGGUGGAGAAUUGAGAUUUAGAAACCCUACGUCUGAGGAGGUUCGAUAUGUUUAUGCAUUUCUAAAGGCAAUAGCUCUUGUUCAUCCAUUGCUUCAAGUGGGUAAUAAUGGUUUGCAGAGAAGAGGAAGAUUGGUUAGUUUUGAGCCUUUUAUUGAAACCGUUGAUGUGCAAUGGCCGUUUGAGGUUUCUAAGGCUGGAGAGCUUGUUGCGGUUACAAUUUCACAUCCACCCGGUGAGGUUUAUGAAGAGAAGAAGCGAGCGAGGACUCCAAGCCCAAGCAAAUACAUGGAGCCACCAACAGAAGAACUUUCGUUAAUGGAUAUAAGAUCUAAUAUUUGGACAAUUUUGAGGAAGUGUUCUAUGUGUGAAAAGGAGGUUAACAAUGAUCAAUCUUUAUGUUGUGGACAUUGUCGUGCUGUGAUUUACUGUGGUUCUAUUUGCCAGAGGCAACAUUGGAAGGAAGAACAUAAGAGUGUUUGUGGCCUUUACAAAGCCAUGAUGGAGAGAGAGGAAGAACUCACUAUGUCAAUAUUUAACUUCCCUUGCUUCCUCGAGCAUUUCUGCCAAUGGCUUGAAUCCGUCGGCCUUCAUCAAAAGGGUAUGUGGAGGAGGAAGUGCAGUUGCUAUUCUCAAUACCCUUUCGGCCUUCUCCCUCAAAAUUCCAGGGUUUCAGACUCAUGGGGAGGUUUAAAAGAUGGAGAGUAUCCACCUGAUGCUCCAUUUCUCAACUAUCAUGAUCGAAUAUCUAAUCCUAUACUGCUCUCAGGUUGGUCUGAGUACUAUAAUAUUCGAUCCCUUCAAUUCUCAAGCCCGGUUGCAGUUCUAUUAUCUUACCCCUUGACAAUUUAUCACAUACUAACUUCACUUAUAAGUUCAAAGAACCGUCUAGUUAAAGGCAAAGAGGUGAUUGUUCACUACAUUGGGCCCGAGGGGGAAUUAGACUUGAUGCCUGCAUUUGCUGAGAUGGGUCACCUGCUUAAUGGAUCGGGCAGCAUUCAGAUUGUCAUGAUUGGUCCAGAAGUACCCAGUAAUUUAUCCAGUACUGUCUCUGGAGUUGGAGGUCGAGUGAGGGUGAACUUGGUGAGAGGGUUAUAUCAAGAUCAAGCAUCUAACCUCUCUACUCCUCAUGUUGUGGUUGCUUUGAAUUGUGCUUUGGAGAGCUAUGGAAGCUGGGGAGGAGCUCUUGAGGUGAUUAAAUUGACAGGAGUGCCUGCGUUCUUUACUGAGCGGUCUGAGAGAUUGUGCACAAAUGGUAAGCAGGUUUUGAGAGGGGCGGGGCUGCACAUUUCGCAUCCUGUGAUGCCAAAUCCAUUCAGAUCACCAGUGCGGGACCAGGCACCUUCGAGUAAUCUUCCUUGUUAUAGCAAUGGCUUUGUUUUUGGUGUGAACACUUGAGUAGUGACUCGGUGCGCUUCCCCUUGGCUUUGAAGCAUCUAUCAAGAAAAAGUACCCAGUAACUUAUCCGGUACUGUCUCUGGCAUUAGAGGUUGAGCCUAGGCUAUUUUGCCAUGGAAGUCGGGGAGGAGCUCUGAAGGUAAUCAAAUCUACAGGAUUGCCUGCAUUCUUUACUGAUUGAUAUGAGAUAGUGUACAAAUGAUGAGCAGGUAUCGAGAGUGGCUGGGCCGCAUAUUUCGCAUCCUGUAAUGCCAAGUCCUCUUAAGAUCGCGUGAGAGUUUCAGGCUUCUUCGAGUGAUCUGCCUGGUUAUAGCAAUGGAUUUGUUUCCGGUGUCAAUACUUGAGUCGUGGUGACUCGGUGAGCUUUCUGCAGGAUUUGAAGCAUCUAUCAAGAAAGUAAGUAGAUGUUUUAUGCUGCUGGCCGUAUAUAUAGUUGUUAUUGUGCUUGUUAUUGCAUGUUGGAAUGUGCACGACUAUGUACAUUCUGGUGCAAGUAUUUUAUGAUGUCUGAGAUCUUUCUCCGUUUUCUGUUUAGUUUGAUCCUUGGCGCUUAUAACAUACAUUUUGGUUCGAAGUUUUUCAUGAUGAGAGUAAUCAAGUGUGAUGGAUAGAGCAGGCUCUGUCUGAUUUGUUC
Molecule: RNA transcript, 2627 nt
Organism: Asparagus officinalis (garden asparagus)
Lineage: Eukaryota; Viridiplantae; Streptophyta; Magnoliopsida; Asparagales; Asparagaceae
Gene name: zinc finger MYND domain-containing protein 15-like
Exons: 4
Source: RefSeq, a predicted model, not a curated record